Molecule: signal recognition particle RNA, 269 nt
Filed under: Clostridia bacterium
Lineage: Bacteria; Bacillati; Bacillota; Clostridia
Description: signal recognition particle sRNA large type
Rfam family: Bacterial large signal recognition particle RNA
About the family: The signal recognition particle (SRP) is a universally conserved ribonucleoprotein involved in the co-translational targeting of proteins to membranes. Archaeal SRP consists of a 7S RNA and homologues of the eukaryotic SRP19 and SRP54 proteins.
Source: RNAcentral
CCAUACCAGCCGGGGAAUUAGCGGAGCCCUGUACCUGAAAUCCGCUACAGCAGGGGUGGAUCCCUCAUUUGAGGAUCGAACCUUUACGAAUACAAGAGUCGUAUCUGCUGUGUUGAGAAACGGGUCUUACGCAAUCGAGGGCUGUGAACCAUGUCAGGUGGGGGACCAAUCAGCAUUAAGCGGUUACCUCGGUGUGCCGUGAGGUUGCCUGUUUUGAGCAGGAGGUACGAAGAUCGCGUGGGGGCGACAUUCGAUUUUGAGGUGUAUGG